Long non-coding RNA from Brienomyrus brachyistius, 6751 nucleotides. RefSeq lists it as uncharacterized. The record is from RefSeq and is a predicted model, not a curated record. The transcript has 7 exons. Lineage: Eukaryota; Metazoa; Chordata; Actinopteri; Osteoglossiformes; Mormyridae.
AAGUGACUCAAAUAGGAUUUCUUUUGCCUUAAUGUGACACAGAUCUGAUAUUUUCAGGGCUGUGUGGACACGCAAAUCUGAUCUUUUGAAAUCGGACUUGUGUCACUUUCAUUCGUGGUACUAAAUCGAAUACGUAUCCGAUUCGCGGCCAUGCGACUUGAAUGUGAACGCUCAGAUCGGAAUUCAAGUGGCUUUUUGCUUAUACGCAUGCGCUGAAAUCAUCAAUCUGCACUGGCAGCCUCGUACCCACACAUCUCUUGGUGCAGCAGUCUCAGCAAUAACUGAGAAAACAGAAAAAGCUAGCCGCCUGAUUUUUUUCUCAUUUUCGAUCUGCUCAUGUACAGCUGAUUCAUUGUUUAUAGUCCUCCAGAGCAAAGCGAGUGAGCUACUAACGCCUCCAUUUUUAAUGCCAUGAGUCGUCCCAUAGAUAUGACGUUUUUUGUUGUUGGUGACGCAGUUAACCUGUGUAAAACAUAUCAAUGCGCGCAUGCGUGACGUUUCGGAGGAUCGAUGCGUUCACAUUGCAGUCAGAUACAGGUCACUUGUAGUUAUGAAUGUGAACCGUCAAGAUAGACAAAUCCGAUCUGAGCAAAAAAUCGGAAUGGAACGAUGUGGCUGGCAGUGUGAACGUAGCCAUACUGUCAUAGGCUGAAUAAUGGUGCGUUCGAUUAUCUUUCUGAAGUCGAAAAUUCCGAGGCGCGUGACUUGAUCGUACUUGUGUUCUCGUGCACCCGUUUUACGUCAUCUUCCAUUGCCGAAGACCAGUUCCAAUACUAUACUGAUCACAAGAUGCGAGGACCGUAAAAUCCCCGGAUGUUAGUCUUGCUCCUCCCCAAAUAUCAAGGAUACUUGCAUCUUUGCCAAACGAGAAGAAUCCCGUAAUUCAUUGCGUGCAGUUGCGAUGGAGAAGGAAGAAGUUACGAGACAUAUCUGAAAAGACUGGAAACAAUCCUGUAAGAUGCAAUCAACGAUGUUAUUCCGUUCAUCUCCGAAAAUGUUGGUGAGUGGAUCCAUCUCGCAGAGGAGUUACUGAGCAGCUAUGGAAAUAACAGGCAAAAAGGUAGAUACCUUAUUUCCCCAGCGAUAAGCCACCCCACUUUAUAGGCCACUACAUUCAUUUUAUGAACAAGCACUUAUGAAUAAUAAAACAAAUUUCACAUAGUCAAAAAUACCUGAAAUCACCAGUCUCUCUAAUUCACAGAAAAAUACCAUAGUUUGAAAAAUGAGGAUUUCAUAAACAAAAUGUAAUGCGUUUUGUUAUUUAUGAAGCUUUCAAGCUGCCCUCACACUCAAGGUCAGGUGCUCAGUACAUGAUUGGCAGUGAUUGGCCACAGUGUUGUGUCAGUCAUAUUGAAGUGAACAACUAUCCUAUCACAGUAGGCAUUUCUUUCACGGGUGGGACUUAUUUGCCAUAAGAAUUCAUUGAACCUGGAAAAUCCACCAGCCGCCAGGGUCUGGGAUGAUUAUCAUCUAAUGGGGGAAAAUAUUGAUCGAGGUGAAGCUUGUUUCACUGAGAUUCUCUGUUUCACCGCGGUUGGAAGUGGCGCUGUUUCAAGAGUUUGACCAGAGCCGUAAACUGUUGAGGAGCUGAAAUUAGAAGAUGCACCUUAUUUUUAUGAGCAUUUUAUGGUUUCACACCAAUAAAAAGUGAUUGUCAUGAAGAUUAUUUUUUCUUGGUGAAACAUUGUUUCACCUGCAGUCUUGUAGGAGCCGCCACUGGUGUACAACAGGUAUAAACGAAAGUUUUUUGGGUUAAAAGUGAAACAUUACUUUUACACAUAUCUGGGUUAUACUUAAAUGAACAUUCAGUAAUAAAGUUGUGUUUAACGGAUCAGGUUCCAGGGGUUUUCCAAGUUUAAAUGAAAUCUGUUUGCUGUUAUGGUAUUAUAUGCUGUUAUGUACGGCUUUGUUAAAACUUUAUUACAUUAGGUUACCAUAACAUCUACUUAGUUCCCUUCUCUUCUAGCGUAUCUUGGGUCACACGGGUCACCAAGCAGAAAACGAAUGUAUUGCAAGUUAAUGCAAAACUCCAGCGAGCAAAAUAACCCAGCUAGCCUUCCAAUUUAUAUCUACUAAAAAUAGAUAUAAAAAAUGAGUGGGGGAGCCGGACCAGCAUGCUACCAUUUGCUGUUGUGGACUUUUUGGCUGGUGGAGGUGGUGUUGUACCUUGCAAGUGGUUCACAGGACCAGAAGAAGAUACUUGUCACUGUCCACCAGGAAAAGUUAACAGUCAUUUGCAAGGCACUGAAGGAAGAAAUUGUUCCAAGCACAGACUGGCCACAGUUUAAAGUGUGUGUCUUGGGAAAAGCAGAAACAUUGCCCAUGCAAGAACAAAACUUCUGAAGUGUAAGGCGAACUCUGACCUGCACGUACAGUCAGAAUCUGGAGGAGGAAUGGGGAAAAGAAAGUGGAGAAGGAGGCAAAGAAACCUGACAGGGUCUGAUGAAGAAUCAGGCUGUACUAGGCAUCCACCAUCCAGUGCUGGGCAUCCACCUCCUCCAGUUACAGAGAAUCUGCUGUUAAAGACUACUCGCUCACUCAGCACCCGUCCCUUUGUUUGUAUGGUUGCCAGAGACUGCAUAUUAUGCUUUCCGGAAAGCCUGCUUGGACAUGGCUGCCCAUCUGGAAUAGGAGGGUGCCUCGCCAUGCAGUGUGACCAGGUACAUGGCUGGCGGUGGUGAGCGGGCUGGUCACCUGAUCGAGUGAGACUGUACAGUGGGGCUGCUGCUGGUGUGGUACUGUUGGAAGGUGAGCGAUGUCCCCAUUAGUCUGGAGCCUGGAAACUUUGUGGAUAAGGAAUUCUAAUACCACCUGUGGCUGGCUGUGUCUGCAAAAGACUUGGCCAUUCUGAGAGCGCUGUUGGACGUCAUUCCGGUUUUGUAUAGUUCUGAAAGAAACUCUGUGGAAAUGAGAAAGUUGGAGCGUAGAAUAAGAGGAGAUGCGUCUAUCGCUUUCCUGCAAUAAACGCUUUGCACCCCUACAGCAGUCUCUUUGUGUCUAUGAAAGUGGCUGGGAGGGGAGUGGGUAGUGUGUGUGUUUCUGUGAAACUGGCAGGGAGGGGAGUGACCCCCCUUUUCUUUAAUAUGCAGCUAUUUGAAGAAAAGUUGUUUUUGAAGUUGGGGCGAGUAGAUUUCACAUACAGCUGUUAUUUACAACCCCGUAGGUCAUCCCGGUCAAACCGUAACGGUCUCUGUCCGUGCACAAUUACAUAUAGAAAAUAAGCACCAGCCACACAUCAAAUUGAUAUUUUGCCUGUUUUUGUGCAUAAAAAGCUUUUCUUGAGGUUAGGGGGUAAAGUUGGGGAAAAGUAGUUUUCCCAUACAGCUGUUAUUUAUACUCCCCAUAGAUCAUCCCGGGUCGAGUGUGACGUAUCCUGUGUGUUUCUGUGCAUAACUACAAACAGAAGACAAAAGAAAACACCGUGAUGUCAAAUAGACAUUCGACAUAAUUAAUAAAUAAGAUCAUCGGAGGAACGCAACCAGCCACAGAUAUUUAUUACGCUGAGCGGCCACCGUGCCAGUUUCCCCCCCCUUCUGUAAAGAAACAGAAGUAUCCCAAGUAUCAUCUAUGGCCUUACCCUCCCCCCACUGGAAAAAGAAACCUACACAGGAGUUCCAUAUAGAUUGCGGUAUUCUGUGUUCUUUCUAUGUGAGACGACGCGGAUCGAGGGGGGUCUGUCGAGAGACAAUCUACGUAAGACCUGAAUCAGCAGGUAUGGACGGAGCAACACUCCCCUCCUAUACCCGAAGCCUUAUUAGAAGAAAUGGACAACAUCAACAAUGCGGUCGGACCUAAUAAUGAAAAUGAUACGCUUUACUUUGUUCAACAUGACUCGACACCUGCAGUGUCUACUGAAGCGAGGGUCAAAGAGCCCUGUUUCCCACUGUCCUUAGAGACAUUAUUAAGCAUGAUAAAUGAAAGGCUUUGGAAUAAUCGCCUAUAAUGAUGCACUAUAACAAAAUCAAACGUGACGUGAAAACGUUUCACCUGUUUCACCUCUCGCUAAAAAGGUCAGGGUCAUUUACAACGAAGGCAGAUUGUUGACUAGUGGGGAAACUUUGCCUUUUGGGUACUGACGUCUACAGCUACUAUUAUACCUAGCUGAAAUCAGUUUUAGGUUGGAUAUUCAACGGACAUUCAGAUCUAGACCCUCCAGACUAGCCAGCAUAAGGCAGUCGAAAGACGGCCAGAUCAGUUCCACAGCCUCGGAGAUGCUCAAGCACCACUGAAUUAGGGACCGUCAACGAAUUACUGUCAGAAUAAUAAAAUACUGAUUGCUUGCAAUAACUUCAAUGCAAUGGGAUCCAGUAACUACAAAAUGGGUGCAUAUUCUGCAACUACCUCACAUACACAGGACACAGUGAAUUUUACUCUUUUUUUUUUUUACUCUCUCUUUAUUGUAUUCUAUAUGAUCAUUUUAAAAGUAAAAAUGGGUAAAAAGAUUUUUUUCCAAUAGCUUCUAGGCAAUGGGACCUUAUGGCCCCCAAAUGGGUGCAAAUUAUAGUAUAUAGUAUAUAGUAUAACUAUAGGACACAGCAACUUUCAUUCAGUUUUAACCCUUUGUGUACUUGAAGUGAUUUUUUUUUUCUCUAAAAUUAGGGCUAUUUUUUCAAUAGCUCCUAGGCCAUAGGAGCCUGUAACCCAAAACCAGGUGCCAAUUGUAGUGCUACCCGAGGCCUAUAGGGUAACUUUCAUUUGAUUUUAACCUUUUGUUUUUAAUAGCUCUGAGGCCAUGAGAGCCUGCGACCCAAAACCUGGUGCAAACCACUCCGUAAAGUCUUCUCCAGCACAUCCCAAAGCCUAUCAGUGGGGUUAAGGUCAAGACUCCGUGGCAGCGAAAUCAUGAGUGAAAAUCUUUUCUCAUGUUCCUGAACCAUUCUUUGACAAUUCUAGCCUCAUAAAUCUUGCCAUUAUCAUCCUGGAAUAUGCCCAUGCCAUUAGGAAAGAAAAAAAAUCUAUUGAUGGGAUAACCUGGCCAUUCAACAGAUUCAGGUACUCAGCUGACUUCACUUUAUUGUUGCAUAACGUUGCUGAGCUGUAAUAAUGAUCCAAUCAUUGGCUUUUAAGUACUUGCUGAUUUAAAUUCAAAUGGUGAAAUUUUUUGGCCGGGCAGUGUAUGUUGAAUGCUUGAAUUGUUGAGACAAUUUUUGGUUACAUCAUCCCCUACAGCUGCAUUUACACCAAAUUAGGUGUAGUGCUUUGGGGCCACCUUGAUUUAAUUUGGACAUCACGAUUUUAAAAUUUUCCAUUAUUGACAAUGUACAUCAAAAAGUAAACUGCAGCUGUCACGCUGAGGCAUGAUUCAAGGUCCACUAGGUGUCUUGCAGGACAAAGGGAACUUUAUUACAAACACAACUCUAAUGACUUAGAAACAAAUGGAGACCAAGUGUUACGUGCCGUAAGGUUCAGGGGAGGGGUUGCCCUGCAGGUUCUGCUCGUUAUCAUUCGCAUCUUGCUCCCUUCGACUCCGCCUCCCGGACCUGGCCACGCCCCCAUCUUUGACGCUGCUUCUGGAUCUCAGACUGAAAAGGCCAUGGUGGGAGAACAGCGGCAGCUAUGCUCACUGUUUGACUAUUGUUUGGUUUGUUUGGUUUUAGAUUUAUGGUGUAUGACAGUUUUUGGUCUAUUGGUUUCCGACUUUCAUUUUGCCCUCUUGUACCUCCGCUUUGGUUUGACUGUUUCUUUGGUUUGAUCUCCCGCCUGCCUGUUGAUGAUUCUUUUGCUUACCCCCUCGGACACUGUCGCUCUGGUUUUGUGUUUCCUGUAUGUUCGUGUCUGUCUCGGUGCGUAAGGAGUGACUGCCUUUUUGUUUAUGCGUAUGUGUGGUUUACUGUGGUUUUGGCUAGGGAGUUAGAUUUAUUUUUUGUCAUUUCGUUUUCUCGUUUUCAUUUCCUUUAGAAUUAGCUUAGCUUGGGGAAUCAUUUGUUAGCGCUGUUUUGUUUAUUGUUUUGGCCCAUGUCACUCCCGAAGUCUGUUGCACCUUGUUUUUGUAAAAGUGUCUGUGAUUAAAUAUAAAAAAUACAAAAAAGGUCCCUUUGUUUCCCAUGUUCCCUUUUCCCAUCCCUUGGUUGUCUCGUUUUCCCCUCUCCUUUCCCUUUACCUUUCUGUCGGUCCUCAACCCUAGACUGGGGAUCGUAACAAUAGGAUGUUGGUGGUUGUUCAAUUUCAAGUUGUGGUUGCGAUUAAGUAAAAGAUAAAAAGUAGUGAUAAUAUAGCAAAGCAGUGGCAAAACUACAUUCUUAAAGCAGGUUAUAUGCACUAAGAUAAGAAUUAUAGAGAAGUCCCCCUCUACAUCACCAGUCACAAAAAUAAUUCAAAUUUAGGCUUAGCCAGAUUUAGGUUGAUAAAGGGAUACUUUUUGUAUUAAGCUCUUGUCAAACUUGCCAUGGUUAAUAUAUGAUUUUGACCUGAUGCAUAAUCUUCGCUUCACAUUUCGAACAUUACAUUCUUCUUCCAGAACUGCUUUUGGAUUCCCCACUGAAUUAUGAAUUUAAAGGCAUUACUCUGGACUCUUAUGGACUGUGCUUUGUGGACUUCUGGACUGUAGUGGAUAUACUGGUGGUGACCUUUGCCUGUCUAACAAGCGAGUUUUCCAGAGCGGUCAUUAUAAUACACACACUGGAUAGUUCCCCUUUCCCACUUUUUUUGUCUUCUAAUAAAUUGUUUUAUUUAUGUAUGUUUUAACAAUGUAUGUUCAUGUGAUCCUCUUAGUUUUUAAAGUCCAAACUUAAUUGUUUGUGGUGAGAGGAAA